GGACUCCCAUCCUACUCAUGUAGCGAUCUGAUAGGUGUUCAUCACUUGAGAGCUCCCUCCCUCGAAGUACCUGAAGGUCAAUUUUGAUGGCAGUACCAAAGAUAGAUAGGGUGGUGUGGACUUUGUGAUCCAUAGACCUAACUCCAAACUGAUAGUUACUAGGAGAAUCCAUCUCUUCGCACCUAUGGUACCUAAGGUAGAGCUACAUACUGCUUAGGCUA
This 221-nucleotide long non-coding RNA is filed under the name Elaeis guineensis (African oil palm). Its description in RNAcentral is "long non-coding RNA (EGUI_LNC016805)". The record is from RNAcentral. Lineage: Eukaryota; Viridiplantae; Streptophyta; Magnoliopsida; Arecales; Arecaceae.